GGCCAGACUCCUACGGGAGGCAGCAGUGGGGGAUAUUGCACAAUGGGGGAAACCCUGAUGCAGCGACGCCGCGUGAGCGAUGAAGUAUUUCGGUAUGUAAAGCUCUAUCAGCAGGGAAGAAGAUGACGGUACCUGACUAAGAAGCCCCGGCUAACUACGUGCCAGCAGCCGCGGUAAUACGUAGGGGGCAAGCGUUAUCCGGAUUUACUGGGUGUAAAGGGAGCGUAGACGGCGAUGCAAGUCUGAAGUGAAAGGCGGGGGCCCAACCCCCGGACUGCUUUGGAAACUGUAUAGCUGGAGUGCAGGAGAGGUAAGUGGAAUUCCUAGUGUAGCGGUGAAAUGCGUAGAUAUUAGGAGGAACACCAGUGGCGAAGGCGGCUUACUAGACUGUAACUGACGUUGAGGCUCGAAAGCGUGGGGAGCAAACAGGAUUAGAUACCCUGGUA
Molecule: ribosomal RNA, 446 nt
Filed under: uncultured bacterium
Lineage: Bacteria
Description: bacterial SSU rRNA
Rfam family: Bacterial small subunit ribosomal RNA
Source: RNAcentral